CUUCGUGGACCUGUGAGGGCGAGAGCAGAUGGACGUGCGAGUCGAUCGCGCCCGCGGUCAAGAUCUUGCCCUCGCCGGCGAUGACAUCGGUGGCCGGCCCGAUGGGCAGCUCCGGAUGGACGCCGUCGGCGAUGUCGGGAUUGCCGGCCCGGCCGAGCGCCACGAUCCGGCCGUCCCGGAUGCCGACAUCGGCCUUCACGAUGCCCCACCAGUCCAGCACCAGCGCAUUGGUGACGACCGUGUCCAGGGCUCCGUCGGCGCGGGUCGUCAUGCCCUGGGCCAUCGACUCCCGGAU
RNAcentral lists this small RNA (295 nucleotides) under Microlunatus phosphovorus NM-1. RNAcentral describes it as "5' ureB small RNA". It matches the Rfam family "5' ureB small RNA". The record is from Rfam by way of RNAcentral. Lineage: Bacteria; Bacillati; Actinomycetota; Actinomycetes; Propionibacteriales; Propionibacteriaceae.